AUUAAAAUGCAGGGACGCAGCAGGAUAGAUGCGGCUGCCUCCGGAGCGCUGGGGAGCGCAGCGUCCUCGCAGGCGGGGUGGAGCCCGAUCCACACUGGUGAAAAGCGGGAUCGGGCUCCAGGACCUGGAUUCGGGACGUGGGGAACGGUAUUUUUCGGCGCGGCCGAGCGUUCGGUUCUGGCGUCCCCGACUGCCGCCCCCACCGUGAGCCGGCGCUCCUGCCCCCGCCCAGCCGCCGCCUCUCGCGCCCUGCCCCAGGCGGGCCGCACGCCAGGCCGCAGUUUCCCGGAGCCGGCCCCCUCCCGCCCUCGCGGCCCGGUGACGUCAUCUGCACAAAACUUUCCGCUUCCCGGCCAGUCUCGGGGCCCUGAAUCAUAGCCGCCCCCGGUCCCGGGCCAGGCCCGCAGCGUCUGUGCAGAGUGAGGCCCCGCCGGCCCAGGCCUGACGUCAAACUAGCAGAGCCUGGAAGGCGGUGGCAACUUGUGCUGGUUGCGUGACCUUGGGCAGGUCCUUUAAGCUUCCUGAAGUUUCUGCGUCUGCCACCUAGCAGAAGCUCAGCAAAUCUGUCGACUCACGAGUAAAUUGUACAACUGGGUAAUCCGAGGUGGGAAGAAACUGGCCCAAGGUCCUACAGCAGGUUGACAACAGAGCUGGGUUUCUGGGCCCCCAGUUCCACGUGCUCUUUCUGCAGUUACUCCUGAGCAUCCCUUGCAGACAUGCUGAGAAGGGGACUUCUUCCAGAGCAAGGCUGCCUGGGUUCGAAUCUGGCUGGGCCAUAGGACUUCGGACCGCAGUGUUCUCAUCCAUAAAACAAGUGUGAUAAUACAGCAUGAUAAUAAUCACAUGGAAUCUGUAUGAGGCUAGAGGAUCAGUCCAAUGCAAACGUGUUUGCUCAACAAGCCUUCGGUGACACCUACUCUGCACCAGGCAGACCCGAAGAUGGGGCAACAAGCAAGUCCGACUGAGCCUGCCUUGGUGGUGUUCACAGCCCAGGGAGGCAAACACACCUGAAACAGGCUGACCCCCAGCACUGCUCGGGGGAGCCCCAUCUCC
This is a long non-coding RNA of Choloepus didactylus (southern two-toed sloth), 1053 nucleotides long. RefSeq lists it as uncharacterized. The record is from RefSeq and is a predicted model, not a curated record. NCBI's taxonomy places the organism in Eukaryota, Metazoa, Chordata, Mammalia, Pilosa, Megalonychidae. The transcript is spliced from 3 exons.